GAGAGCUGUGGGGUUGUUGGCUUGAAUAAAUAAUAUGGGCUGUGACUUUAAAAAAUUAUGAUCCUUCAGGCAAGUUUAAAUGGGAUGUGAUGAGUGGUCAUUACUCGCAAUAAAUAUGCGAGAAGAGCGUUCCAGCCCAGCCUGGUUACGACAAAAUGGGCGCUCUUAUUAUUACCAAUCUGAUCCCUGUACUUGAAUCCCCUCCCCCCAACCAAAUAUUCCCUCCCAAAUAAUUAUUUUUUUGUUUCAAAGUAUUAAUUCUGUAUUCUUAUUUUUUCUUUGUUUUGUUUUCUUUUCAUUAUAAUCUUCUUCUCUACUUCUCUUUCACUAGUAAUUUUCUAAAAUAGAUUUUUAUUAUGUUAAGAAAAGACAUUAAUCUUUUUUCAUGUUUUAUCUUCAAGUAUUUAAUGUUGAGCGCAAAAAACAUAGAAAAAAAUUUAUUAUCUUUUAUUGAUAUGUUAAAAUGAUGAGUAAAAUUUAUUUUAGAAAUAAGUGAUAAGUAAAAGUGAACAAAAAGAAUAUCUUUAAAAUCAUUUUAUCAAGACAUGCUUAGUCGGAAACAAUAUAUGGUAAAAUACCUUAUCAAUAAUAAUUUUUUUAAUGAAUGUCAAAUCAGAGUAAAACAAGUAAAAAUGAAUAGAGGAAAUAUCAUUUUAAGCCCACCUCUCUUAAUAUACACAGUAAUUCUAGGCAUAUUACAAGCCCUAUUUUUUUCUAUGAAUCAAGUGUGCUAAAUUACACAUCAAUAGCCCUCUACUACUCAUUCCACUAAGGGCUCGUUUGCUGUGAGGGAUUAAAAAUAAUAGUGAUGGAAUUAAAAAGUUUUAUGUUAUUUGAUUGUCAAGGUUUGGAAUAACUUAUCCCACCAUUUAUAUAUCAUAAUGAUGAGAUAAGUUAUUUCAUAUAACAUGGUUAGAUAUUGGAUAAGUUAUGCCAGAAUAGCUAACUUCAGAAUAAGUUAUCGUGAGCUAAUUUGUUUUCAACCAAACGCCCCUAAAUUCCAUAAAGCUCAUUAAAUCAUUUUCUUCUGUCUACUAAUAUUAAUAAACAGGGAUAGUUGCAUUGCAAACUUAAUAAGUGUUUGUAAUGUACAAGUAGUUACUCCCACAAUUCCCUAAAGAACUAGUUUCAACUUUUAAGAAACUCAAAGUAAUAAAAUUAGAAAAGAAAGGGAAAAAGGUAACUUAUAGGGUAGGAUGAUGAAAUGAAUAAAAUUUAGGGAACAUUAGCGAUUAAGUUAUAAUAUCUAACAUAAUUAUUCAAAAUAACAACACUUUAAAAUAUUUAUUUAAAAUGUCUGGAUGACAGUAUUUUAGAAAAUAAUGUGUAUUCAAAUUUUAUCAUUUAAAAUUAUUUUUAUUUAUGAAACAAGUCCUCGGAAAAAAUUAUAAAUCAAUAGAAAAAAAAACAAUACCCAUUAACCUUCCUUUACCUCUCACGUUUUUACCCCACCUUUCACGUUUUCAGAUUAUCUCUCUCCAACGUGCUCACAAAUUGUUCAUCAAAAUAUAUAUUUUAAUUCAAGAAAUUUUCUUGAUUGUUAAACGAAUUUUUUUUAUAAUUCAAGAGACUUCUCUCGAUUGGCAAGGUAAUUUCCAUUAUUUCAAAUUUUGUUUAUGGGGUUACUAAUGCACAAGUAAAUACGGGUUCAGAUCCGAUUUUGAUGAAAAUAAUCGAAAAAAAGAACAUAGCCGGAGAAGGAGAAGAAGAAGGAGGUUGCAAAAUUGUAUUCAUACCAAAAUUAUAUUCAUAUUAAUUAUUGUUUGUCAAUUGUUAUUAUUUUACUCAUCAUUUGUAUUUUUAUUUUAAAUCAUUAUAUUUCUUUUUUAGUUUUUAGUCAUUCAAAUAGGUAAAUAUUGUAUUUAUACAUAAUUUAUAGAACUGUGACGAAUAUAUUAUAAGAAGGGAAAUAGAAACUUAUUGGUAUUCAUUUUUUCGUUUGAAAUACAAAUCAUACUAAUAUUUGAAAUACAUUUUAGUAAGAGAUGUUUUGUAUUUUAUUUGGCUAAAAGCAAUAUAACUUUUAUGAAUACAUGAUGUAUAAAAUUACUACGAAUACAUCACAAGAAGGGAAAUAUAAAAUUAUUGGUAUUCAUUUUGCAUUUGAUAUACAAAAUGAUAUUGAAACAUGACCUGAUAUUUAAAAUAAAAACUGAGCUAGAAAAUACUUUAUGCAAAUUUAAAGUGGAAUAAUAAUAUAAAAAAAUUGGAUAUUGAAAUAUAAAUAUAAUUUAUUUUGAAUACAACUUAUUCUAUGUAUUGUGUAUUCAUCGCAAUUGUAUUCUUCUAUGGAACUAAAUAUCCCACACUGGAUAAUGAAUAGAGUUGUGGGGUUGGUGGCUUAAUAAAUAAUGUAGGCUGUGGGUUUUAGAAAUUAUGAUCCUUCAGGCAAGUUUUAAUGGAUGUGAUGAGUGGUCAUAACUCGCAAUAAAAAUGCGAGAAGAGCGUUCCAGCCCAGCCUGGUUACGACAAUUUGGGCGCUCUUAAUUUUACCAAUCUGAUCCUUGUGCUUGAAAUCCCCCGCACCCCAUCCCCAUACAUCCCUCCCAAACCUUUUUUUUUUCUUUCAAGCAUUUGUUUUCUUUCCAUUAUAAUCUUCAAUAUUAUGGCAUUGCUUGUUACCUCCGUUCACUUUUAUUUAUUAUUUCUAAAAUUAUAUUUAAAAAAGACAUUAACUUCAAGUAUUU
RNAcentral lists this long non-coding RNA (2687 nucleotides) under Solanum lycopersicum (tomato). Its description in RNAcentral is "long non-coding RNA (SLYC_LNC000358)". The stretch from base 82 to 187 matches the Rfam family "Small nucleolar RNA Z279/snoR105/snoR108". The record is from RNAcentral. Lineage: Eukaryota; Viridiplantae; Streptophyta; Magnoliopsida; Solanales; Solanaceae.